This is an unclassified non-coding RNA of Rhinopithecus bieti (black snub-nosed monkey), 108 nucleotides long. It matches the Rfam family "Y RNA". From Rfam's summary of the family: Y RNAs are components of the Ro ribonucleoprotein particle (Ro RNP), in association with Ro60 and La proteins. The Y RNAs and Ro60 and La proteins are well conserved, but the function of the Ro RNP is not known. The record is from Ensembl. Lineage: Eukaryota; Metazoa; Chordata; Mammalia; Primates; Cercopithecidae.
GGCUAGUCCGACCAUAGUGAGUUAUCUCAAUUGGUUGUCCCCAGUCAGCUCAGAUAGAACUCCUUGUUGUCUUCCCCCAUUCUCACUAGCACACUUAGCUAGUCUUUA